GACGAACGCUGGCGGCGUGCCUAAUACAUGCAAGUCGAACGAAGCUGUUUUAACUGGUGCUUGCACCGACUUAAAAAACUGAGUGGCGAACGGGUGAGUAACACGUGGGUAACCUGCCCCAAAGCGGGGGAUAACAUUUGGAAACAGAUGCUAAUACCGCAUAACCACAGAAACCACAUGGUUUCUGUUGCAAAGAUGGUUUCGGCUAUCACUUUGGGAUGGACCCGCGGCGUAUUAGAUAGUUGGGAAGGUAAUGGCUUACAAAGGCAAUGAUACGUAGCCGAACUGAGAUGUUGAGCGGCCACAUUGGGACUGAGCCACGGCCCAAACACCUACGGGAGGCAGCAGUAGGGAAUCUUCCACAAUGGACGAAAGUCUGAUGGAGCAACGCCGCGUGAGUGAAGAAGGUUUUCGGAUCGUAAAACUCUGUUGUCAGAGAAGAACGUGUGCGAGAGUAACUGCUCGUGCAGUGACGGUAUCUGGCCAGAAAGCCACGGCUAACUACGUGCCAGCCGCCGCCGUAA
This 524-nucleotide ribosomal RNA is filed under the name uncultured bacterium. RNAcentral's name for it is "partial 16S ribosomal RNA". It matches the Rfam family "Bacterial small subunit ribosomal RNA", at positions 28 to 523 of the family's 1533-position model. The record is from RNAcentral.